RNAcentral lists this ribosomal RNA (519 nucleotides) under Reishia clavigera. RNAcentral's name for it is "partial large subunit ribosomal RNA". It matches the Rfam family "Bacterial large subunit ribosomal RNA", at positions 1813 to 2603 of the family's 2925-position model. Lineage: Eukaryota; Metazoa; Mollusca; Gastropoda; Neogastropoda; Muricidae. The record is from RNAcentral.
ACAUGGCUCCUUGUUUUCUUACAUAGGGAGUCGGACCUGCUCGGUGAAUAUAUUUUAACAGCCGCGGUACUCUGACCGUGCAAAGGUAGCAUAAUCAUUUGCCUUAUAAUUGAAGGCUAGUAUGAAUGGUUUGACGAGAAUUAAGCUGUCUCUUUUUAACUAAAUAUAACUUUAUUAAGAGGUGAAGAAGCCUGUAUUUUAUUGAAAGACAAGAAGACCCUAUCGAGCUUUAAAGAAUUUAGUGGAUUUACCAUAUAUUAAUAAAAAAGUAAAGCAACUAAAUAUUUUGGUUGGGGCGACUGAGGAACAAACAAAGCUUCCUUUAUGCUAAUUAAAACUUACAAGUAUUGAUCCAAUUUAUUUGAUUAAAGAAAUUAGUUACCGUAGGGAUAACAGCAUAAUCUCCUUUGAGAGUUCUCAUCGAAAAGGGGGUUUGUGACCUCGAUGUUGGACCAGAAUACCCAGAAGAUGCAGCCGUCUUCAAUGGUUGGUCUGUUCGACCAUUAAAAUUCUACAUGA